RNAcentral lists this unclassified non-coding RNA (555 nucleotides) under Hevea brasiliensis (rubber tree). The record is from RNAcentral. Lineage: Eukaryota; Viridiplantae; Streptophyta; Magnoliopsida; Malpighiales; Euphorbiaceae.
AAUUCCAAAUUGAUCAGCAAGAUCGUCCAUUGUCAAGUACAACUGGUUUGACACUUUCCCACAAGGAUUCUUGGUACGAAGCAUAAAUGAAUACGACCUCUGGCCACGAUCUUCUCUGUUGUAUUGCUGAUAGCUCCCAUGGAAUUUGAUCAAUUGUGUGGCAGCCUCAUUUAUGUUAGGGGCAUCCGUCAACAACUCCUCAUUAAGAGGGUAUCUUAUAUAAUUACUAUGUUCUUUGAAAAUUUCGACCUUACUACGUUUUGGCUCAGCCGCAAUCCCCGGCUUCGCUGGCGUGGAGACGGCUCGAACGAGCAGAGGGCGGGAAGAGGAGGAGGAGGAGGGGGAGGAAGAAGGGGAAGCAGAAGGGGCGAAGAAGCGGACAUGUCUGGCCAAAGCAAGGGAAGUGGUGGAUUUAAGGCCAUGGAAGGUAGGAAUCUGGACCGUGGGAUCGGUGAAGACGGCGGAGUUGGAGGCGGCGAAGGACGACGGCGUGGUCAUGGGAGGAGGGAUUAGGGUAGUGGGUAAUUGGAGAAAUGUGCAGUGAGUGAGUGAAGA